RNAcentral lists this ribosomal RNA (277 nucleotides) under uncultured bacterium. Its description in RNAcentral is "partial 16S ribosomal RNA". It matches the Rfam family "Bacterial small subunit ribosomal RNA", at positions 79 to 353 of the family's 1533-position model. The record is from RNAcentral.
AAACCAAAGCUGGCGACCGGCGCACGGGUGAGUAACACGUAUCCAACCUGCCUCAUACUCGGGGAUAGCCUUUCGAAAGAAAGAUUAAUAUCCGAUAGCAUAUAUUUCCCGCAUGGGUUUUAUAUUAAAGAAAUUCGGUAUGAGAUGGGGAUGCGUUCCAUUAGUUUGUUGGGGGGGGUAACGGGCCCACCAAGACUACGAUGGAUAGGGGUUCUGAGAGGAAGGUCCCCCACAUUGGAACUGAGACACGGUCCAAACUCCUACGGGAGGCAGCAUG